AUUGAACGCUAGCGGCAUGCUUUACACAUGCAAGUCAAACGGUAACAGGUUAAGCUGACGAGUGGCGAACGGGUGAGUAAUGCAUCGGAACGUGCCCGAUCGUGGGGGGUAACGCAGCGAAAGCUGCGCUAAUACCGCAUACGAUCUGAGGAUGAAAGCGGGGGACCGUAAGGCCUCGCGCGAUCGGAGCGGCCGAUGUCAGAUUAGGUAGUUGGUGGGGUAAAGGCUCACCAAGCCAACGAUCUGUAGCUGGUCUGAGAGGACGACCAGCCACACUGGGACUGAGACACGGCCCAGACUCCUACGGGAGGCAGCAGUGGGGAAUUUUGGACAAUGGGCGAAAGCCUGAUCCAGCAAUGCCGCGUGCAGGAAGAAGGCCUUCGGGUUGUAAACUGCCUUUGUACGGAGCGAAAAGGUCUCCUCUAAUACAGGGGGCUCAUGACGGUACCGUAAGAAUAAGCACCGGCUAACUACGUGCCAGCCGCCGCCGUAA
Molecule: ribosomal RNA, 493 nt
Filed under: uncultured bacterium
Lineage: Bacteria
Description: partial 16S ribosomal RNA
Rfam family: Bacterial small subunit ribosomal RNA
Source: RNAcentral